ACAAUGAUGUAAUAACUUUCGCAACGAUAACUAAAAGAAUAAUAUAAUGAAUUUUAUUUUGUUUUUUAUGUAUUCAAACUGAAAAUAAUUUUGUGUCAAGGCUACUUAUACCAAUACCAGUGAAGAUGACUGGUAUUUGUCAAAGUGUAAAAGGAUCCUGCAAUCUGUUUAUCGAACCCCAAUUAACCAAUUUCCUCGUUUUCUACAACUUGCCACGCGUUUUUCAAAUCUUUGCUGCGUAUCAUUCGACAUGACGAUAUCAGUUAUCAGGAAAAUCCCGGAUCGAUCGCUGGAUGCUAACGCUAGAAAUACCACAGCAGUCAAAAUGACUGUUUCUACAAUUUUAUAAACGUUCCAACCCUUGUUUAGGGAUCAUAAUCGCAGAUGGAUUAGUAAUACCAAAAAUAUACUACAUAACAUGGAAUUGCUUCUGUAAGAAAGUAACAGAUAAAUAUAAAAAUAUUCUAUUAU
This 471-nucleotide unclassified non-coding RNA is filed under the name Bombus terrestris (buff-tailed bumblebee). Its description in RNAcentral is "misc RNA ENSBTSG00005025840.1". Lineage: Eukaryota; Metazoa; Arthropoda; Insecta; Hymenoptera; Apidae. The record is from RNAcentral.